This is a long non-coding RNA of Chelonia mydas (Green sea turtle), 3070 nucleotides long. RefSeq lists it as uncharacterized. The record is from RefSeq and is a predicted model, not a curated record. The transcript is spliced from 2 exons. Lineage: Eukaryota; Metazoa; Chordata; Testudines; Cheloniidae.
CAUCCCCCCCGCCGGCGCCGCCCAUCGCCCGGUUGCACCUCCUCUCGCCCCGCCCCUUGCCCUCACCUGCUGGGCGCUCGCGUGGGUGGGGUCGCCUCGCGCCAGGCGAGCCAGGCCGCGCGCGCUGCCCCCUGGAAUAAUCCCCCGAGUCGCCAGCUGCGGCUGGUCCUGACGGUUACUAAAUCACGAAUGCAAAACCGUCAGGGUCGUUGGGUUGCCAACCCUCCAGGAUUGCCCUGGCAUCUCCAGGAAUUAUGUGAUGAAACCCCCAGGAAUACAGCCAACCAAAGUUGGCAACCGUAGCCCCCCCCCCCCCAUAUGCCACAUCGGGGCUCCCAUGCAAAGCGGGGCCGAGGAGGUGGGUAGAGCAUGAGGUUGUGAAACAGUUACCUUCCCCCCUUAAAAAUGACAGUCAGUAUUUUUUUAAUAUUACAUGUCACUGAUAAUGGCAAGGUAACUUUGAAACAUUUCCCCCUGCCUUUGACUACUUUUCAUCUGUAAUCUGCCCACAGUUUUUUUUUAUAGCUGAAAUGAUAGCUUUUGUAAAAAAUAACAUACUCAGAAAUUAUACAUAUUCACAGUCACUUUGAAAUAAUCUCUGCCCCUUUUUAGUCCAGCCUUUAAGAAUUUGCUCUAAGGCCUGAUCUACACUACAACGUUAGACCAACACAAGCUGCCUUGCGUCAACCUAGUUGUGCACUUAAAUUUGUCUCCCACCAGUGUAAGUGCCCCGUUACGCCAACAUACUACACCACCUCUCCAAGCAGUGGGGAACCAAAGUUUAUGAGGUCGACACAUCUUGCUUGUAGAGACUGUGUUACUUAUGGACCCUAGCAGUCCUCCAGCAACUCUCCCACAAUGCCUUACACUGACCACUCUGGUCACCAUUGUGAACUUCACUUCUUAGACCCGCAAUAGAGGUCUCCCUAUGGGAUGGGGAGCAGGCAGAUACCGGACACAGUGUUGGUAUAUAAUACGCUAAAUGCUCUUUAUUGAUUACAAAACAAACCUUACUCACUCCACAUUCAUACACCAAACAUACCAGAGUCCAAAGGUCAGAAUGGUCCCGAUGGCCAGUUGAGAUUCCUUCCAUCCAUAAGAUCAUAAAAUGCCAGGAGCUGGCAAAAACCACAUCUAUAUCCACACGGGAUAAACUACUCUUAUUUGCGGAAGUCAUUGGCAAUAUUUUAUAGUCCAUUCCAUCACGUCAUCGGUUCUUUGCCUUUGUUUACUAGGCCUUCUACCCACACAAUUCCAUAGAGACAAUCCUGGGCAGGCCGCCAUGAUCCAAGUCGUGCCAUUUCUUCCAAUUCUUAUACAAUUUUAUAUCAAUCCAGCUGGUGUUGUUUCCUUUUCUGCUGAUUCUCUGUAUUUUUCUCGAAACAUAACAAGAUUGCUUUUGCACAGAGAGUUCUAAUAGUUCUUUACCUUAAGUUCUUACUUUGGUUGCCAACUUGCAAUGCAUGUAUUCAUGUCAAGCAUGCUUCAUUCAUACCAGGCCUCAGUGACCUAUAACAUAUUGCAUGGAUAUGUGAAUCACAAUGUAUAUAUAUAUAUAUCUAUAUAUCCCAACACGCUGUCCCAGGGUCAUGUAGACCAGAAGGUCCCUCUCCCCUUUAAAGCCCUACACAUUUCUGAAAUUCCUUUUCCUGAUUUCCCAGUUUGGCGACCACACAUAGCAGCUCUCCACUGUUUAGUGCAACUGCCUGGCUAACCAUGCCAGCUGCAUGCUCCAAAUGCACUCUGGCUUGGAAUAGACAAGAGAUAUUGGAUCCCCUGGGUCUGUGGGGAGAAGAGGCUGUGGAGGCACAGCUCUGAACCCACUGUACAAAUGUCAACAACUGCAAGCAGAUUGCAAGGAGGAUGCAGGAGAAGAGUUACAACUGGGACCUGCAACAGUGCCAUGUGAAAGCCAAGGAGCUGUGCUGCAGCCAUUGUGGCCUUGAGGGUCUCCCUGUCUGCACCUGCAGAACGCCCAAUCCAGAUAAGGCGGAGAAAGAAGAGGACUCGGGAAGACGAAGGUUUCUAACCAUCAGAGGAGUGAAGUUUUGGAAUAGCCUUCUAAGGGAAGCAGUGGGAGCAAAAGACCUAUCUGGCAUUAAGAUUAAACUUGAUACGUUUAUGGAGGAGAUGGUAUGAUGGGAUAACAUGAUUUUGGUAAUUAAUUGAUCUUUAAAUAUUCAUGGUAAAUAGGCCCAAUGGCCUGUGAUGGGAAGUUAGAUGGGGUGAGAUCUGAGUUACUACAGAAAAUUCUUUCCUGGGUAUCUGGCUGGUGAAUCUUGCCCACAUGCUCAGGGUUUAGCUGAUCGCCAUAUUUGGGGUCAGGAAGGAAUUUUCCUCCAGGGCAGAUUGGAAGAGGCCCUGGAGGUUUUUCGCCUUCCUCUGUAGCAUGAGGCACGGGUCACUUGCUGGAGGAUUCUCUGCUCUUUGAAGUCUUUAAACCACAAUUUGAGGACUUCAAUAGCUCAGACAUAGGUGAGAGGUUUUUCGCAGGACUGGGUGGGUGAGAUUCUGUGGCCUGCAUUGUGUGCAAGAGGUCGGACUAGAUGAUCAUAAUGGUCCCUUCUGACCUUAGUAUCUAUGAACCUAUGACAUGUCCAGUGAGAUCCUACGAGCCAGUGCUACAUUGGACUGUGAGCACAGCGCCUGGAGGAUGAACAUUGAGGACAGCCUGGAAAAGGAAAGAGUAGAGAGGAGAAAGGUGCAGGAAAAGGAGAGGGAGAUGCACCUGGACAUAAUGGGGCUUCUCAGGCAGCAAACACAGAUACUGCCGAUUCUGGUGAAACUGCAAAUUCAACAAUACUGGGCUUGCCUCCUUCUGCAGCCCAUUGAAAACUUAAUUUUGGGACCUCCCUGUACCACCACCAAUGUUCCAAGUGGCAUCAGGGGCCACUGCACUACCCCCCACUCCACUUCGUGGGACAGUAAAGACAAUCACAGCUUCACAUACACUGAUUUGUGAAAGCCAUCGUCGGUGAAGAUGUAGCUGAAAUGGACGUGAACGUUCUUUCCUCUUCAUACAGUCUGUUCUCUUGAUUUAUUAAGUUUUAAAUAUAUUUGUUUUAAAAUG